Molecule: ribosomal RNA, 453 nt
Filed under: uncultured soil bacterium
Lineage: Bacteria
Description: bacterial SSU rRNA
Rfam family: Bacterial small subunit ribosomal RNA
Source: RNAcentral
AGAGUGAACGCUGGCGGUAGGCCUAACACAUGCAAGUCGAACGGCAGCACGGUAAGAGCUUGCUCUUAUGGGUGGCGAGUGGCGGACGGGUGAGGAAUACAUCGGAAUCUACCUUUUGGUGGGGGAUAACGUAGGGAAACUUACGCUAAUACCGCAUACGCCCUUCGGGGGAAAGCCGGGGACCAGCAAUGGCCUGGUGCUGAUAGAUGAGCCGAUGUCGGAUUAGCUAGUUGGUGAGGUAAUGGCUCACCAAGGCGACGAUCCGUAGCUGGUCUGAGAGGAUGAUCAGCCACACUGGAACUGAGACACGGUCCAGACUCCUACGGGAGGCAGCAGUGGGGAAUAUUAGGACAAUGGGCGCAAGCCUGAUCCAGCCAUACCGCGUGGGUGAAGAGGCCGUUGGUUGUAAAGCCCUUUUGUUAGGAAAGAAAGUCGUUCGGUUAAGUACCCGGU